CAGCAGCCGCGGUAAAACGUGAGGGGCGAACGUUGUCCGGAAUCACUGGGCGUAAAGGGUACGCAGGCGGUGGAGAAAGUCGGGUGUGAAAGCCUCAGGCUUAACCUGAGGAGGACGCUCGAUACUUCUCCACUUGAGGAAGGGAGAGGGAGGUGGAAUUCCCGGUGUAGCGGUGAAAUGCGCAGAUAUCGGGAGGAACACCAGUGGCGAAGGCGGCCUCCUAUCCCUUUCCUGACGCUCAGGUACGAAAGCUAGGGGAGCGAACCGGAUUAGAUACCCGGGUAGUCCUAGCCGUAAACGAUGGGUGCUAGGUGUUGGGGAGUUAAACUCCUCAAUGCCGAAGCUAACGCAUUAAGCACCCCGCCUGGGGAGUACGACCGCAAGGUUGAAACUUAAAGGAAUUGGCGGG
Molecule: ribosomal RNA, 409 nt
Filed under: uncultured microorganism
Description: bacterial SSU rRNA
Rfam family: Bacterial small subunit ribosomal RNA
Source: RNAcentral